RNAcentral lists this ribosomal RNA (468 nucleotides) under uncultured bacterium. Its description in RNAcentral is "partial 16S ribosomal RNA". It matches the Rfam family "Bacterial small subunit ribosomal RNA", at positions 28 to 507 of the family's 1533-position model. The record is from RNAcentral.
GACGAACGCUGGCGGCGUGCUUAACACAUGCAAGUCGAACGGAAAGGCCCUGCUUUUGUGGGGUGCUCGAGUGGCGAACGGGUGAGUAACACGUGAGUAACCUGCCCUUGACUUUGGGAUAACUUCAGGAAACUGGGGCUAAUACCGGAUAGGAGCUCCUGCUGCAUGGUGGGGGUUGGAAAGUUUCGGCGGUUGGGGAUGGACUCGCGGCUUAUCAGCUUGUUGGUGGGGUAGUGGCUUACCAAGGCUUUGACUGGUAGCCGGCCUGUGAGGGUGACCGGCCACAUUGGGACUGAGAUACGGCCCAGACUCCUACGGGAGGCAGCAGUGGGGAAUAUUGCACACUGGGCGGAAGCCUGAUGCAGCAACGCCGCGUGCGGGAUGACGGCCUUCGGGUUGUAAACCGCUUUCGCCUGUGACGAAGCGUGAGUGACGGUAAUGGGUAAAGAAGCACCGGCUAACUACGUG